This 383-nucleotide ribosomal RNA is filed under the name uncultured eukaryote. RNAcentral's name for it is "partial 18S ribosomal RNA". It matches the Rfam family "Eukaryotic small subunit ribosomal RNA", at positions 592 to 976 of the family's 1831-position model. The record is from RNAcentral.
CAAUGGCGUAUAUUAAAGUUGUUGCAGUUAAAAAGCUCGUAGUUGGAUUUCUGGUGGGAGCGACCGGUCGGCCCAAGUGGUGUGUACUAGUGUUGCAUCUGACCAUGUUUGCGGAGAGCGUGUGUGGCAUUAAUUUGUCGUGCUCGGGACCCGCAUCGUUUACUGUGAGAAAAUUAGAGUGUUCAAAGCAGGCUUAUGCCUUGGAUAUGUUAGCAUGGAAUAAUAAGAUAAGACUUUGGCGGUCUAUUUUGUUGGUUUGCACGCCAUUGUAAUGAUUGAUAGGGACAGUUGGGGGUAUUCAUAUUUAAUUGUCAGAGGUGAAAUUCUUGGAUUUAUGAAAGAUGAACUACUGCGAAAGCAUUUACCAAGGAUGUUUUCAUUAA